This 253-nucleotide ribosomal RNA is filed under the name uncultured bacterium. RNAcentral describes it as "partial 16S ribosomal RNA". It matches the Rfam family "Bacterial small subunit ribosomal RNA", at positions 524 to 776 of the family's 1533-position model. The record is from RNAcentral.
UACAGAGGGUGCAAACGUUGCUCGGAAUUACUGGGCGUAAAGCGCGUGUAGGCGGCUAUGCAAGUCGGGCGUGAAAUCCCACGGCUCAACCGUGGAAGUGCACUCGAAACUGCGUAGCUAGAGUCUCGGAGAGGAAGGUGGAAUACUUGGUGUAGAGGUGAAAUUCGUAGAUAUCAAGUGGAACACCGGUGGCGAAGGCGGCCUUCUGGACGAUGACUGACGCUGAGACGCGAAAGCGUGGGGAGCAAACAGG